GUAAGCCGUAUGCCUUAAUAGGGCACGUACGGUUUGAUAAGGGGCGGUAGUUUAAUGACUAUCGCCUACUUUCU
RNAcentral lists this non-coding RNA (74 nucleotides) under Longicatena caecimuris. The record is from RNAcentral. Lineage: Bacteria; Bacillati; Bacillota; Erysipelotrichia; Erysipelotrichales; Erysipelotrichaceae.